UACGGGGGGGGCAAGCGUUGUUCGGAAUUACUGGGCGUAAAGGGCUCGUAGGCGGCCAACUAAGUCAGACGUGAAAUCCCCAGGCUCAACCUGGGAACUGCGUCUGAUACUGGUUGGCUUGAAUCCGGGAGAGGGAUGCAGAAUUCCAGGUGUAGCGGUGAAAUGCGUAGAGAUGCGGAGGAACACCGAUGGCGAAGGCAGCCCCCUGGGUUGACACUGACGCUCAGGCACGAAAGCGUGGGGAGCAAACAGG
RNAcentral lists this ribosomal RNA (253 nucleotides) under uncultured bacterium. Its description in RNAcentral is "partial 16S ribosomal RNA". It matches the Rfam family "Bacterial small subunit ribosomal RNA", at positions 524 to 776 of the family's 1533-position model. The record is from RNAcentral.